Molecule: ribosomal RNA, 490 nt
Filed under: uncultured bacterium
Lineage: Bacteria
Description: partial 16S ribosomal RNA
Rfam family: Bacterial small subunit ribosomal RNA
Source: RNAcentral
AAUGAACGCUGGCGGCAUGCCUUACACAUGCAAGUCGAACGGCAGCAUGACCUAGCUUGCUAGGUUGAUGGCGAGUGGCGAACGGGUGAGUAAUGCAUCGGAACGUGCCUUUUAGUGGGGGAUAACGUAGCGAAAGUUACGCUAAUACCGCAUAUUCUCUGAGGAGGAAAGCAGGGGGCCUUCGGGCCUUGCGCUAGAAGAGCGGCCGAUGUCGGAUUAGCUAGUUGGUGAGGUAAAGGCUCACCAAGGCAACGAUCCGUAGCGGGUCUGAGAGGAUGAUCCGCCACACUGGGACUGAGACACGGCCCAGACUCCUACGGGAGGCAGCAGUGGGGAAUUUUGGACAAAGGGCGCAAGCCUGAUCCAGCCAUGCCGCGUGAGUGAAGAAGGCCUUCGGGUUGUAAAGCUCUUUCGGCUGGGAAGAAAUCGCACUCUCUAAUACAGGGUGUGGAUGACGGUACCAGCAUAAGAAGCACCGGCUAACUACGUG